CUUACCAUGCAGUCGACGCAGUCUUCGGACUGAGUGGCGCACGGGUGCGUAACACGUAGGUGAUUUGCCUUCGAGUGGGGGAUAACCUGAAGAAAUUCGGGCUAAUACCGCAUACGCUUGGGAGUGUUUGAGUCUCUCAAGGAAAGCUUUAGUGCUCGAAGAGAAGCCUGCGGCCUAUCAGCUAGUUGGUGGGGUAACGGCCUACCAAGGCGACGACGGGUAGCUGACCUGAGAGGGUGGUCAGCCACAGGGGAACUGAGACACGGUCCCCACUCCUACGGGAGGCAGCAGUGAGGAAUAUUGGGCAAUGGAGGCAACUCUGACCCAGCAAUGCCGCGUGGAGGAUGAAGGCCUUCGGGUUGUAAACUCCUUUUGAGGGGGAGUAGCAAGGAGAGUACCCCUCGAAUAAGUCACGGCUAACUACGUGCCAGCAGCCGCGGUAAUACGUAGGUGGCAAACGUUAUCCGGAAUUACUGGGCGUAAAGGGUCCGUAGGCGGAUUACCAAGUCUGAUGUGACACUCCUCGGCUUAACUGAGGAACGCCAUUGGAAACUGGUAGACUAGAAUCUGGUCGAGGUCGGCGGAAUUCCCGGCGUAGUGGUGGAAUGCGUAGAGAUCGGGAGGAACCUCGAAAGCGAAAGGCAGCCGGCUAGGUCGAGAUUGACGCUGAGGGACGAGAGCGUGGGGAGCAAACAGGAUUAGAUACCCUGGUAGUCCACGCCGUAAACGAUGUGUGCUCGGUGUGUGCCCGUCAAGGGUACGCGCUCAGCUAACGCGAUAAGCACACCGGCCUGGGGAGUACGGUCGCAGACUAAAACUCAAAGG
Molecule: ribosomal RNA, 825 nt
Filed under: uncultured bacterium
Lineage: Bacteria
Description: bacterial SSU rRNA
Rfam family: Bacterial small subunit ribosomal RNA
Source: RNAcentral